Xyrauchen texanus (razorback sucker) is the source of this 952-nucleotide long non-coding RNA. RefSeq lists it as uncharacterized. The record is from RefSeq and is a predicted model, not a curated record. Lineage: Eukaryota; Metazoa; Chordata; Actinopteri; Cypriniformes; Catostomidae. The transcript is spliced from 5 exons.
GCAGUGUGUGUGUGUGUGUGUGUGUUUUGCGCAGCGGUACAGAUGCAGCGUGUGUGUUUCGACAGUGGCGUGUGUGUGUGUUGUGAGCAGGUGUUUGUGUGAGGCAUCAGAGGGAGGAACACACACCCUCCAAAAGAGCAGCAAAGACGGAGGCGGCCGCAGUUUUCGCUUUUUUCUUUCGUUUUUUGUUCUUUUUCUUCCUCAUCGUGAUCGUGGGAGGUGCUCUCUCUUCUCAUUUGCUGGCUCUGUCCAUCAUCUGCCUGCUCGUCUACUUCUCCGUCUAUCUCAUCUAUAAUUUCUGCUAUUGAUGAGCAGCGGAGGAGUGUGUGUUUCUGCUCUCCCUCCAUCAUCCUGAUGCUGGUGUGUUGUGAUUGUAGGAAACUCAGUUUCUUCAUGACACUGAACUGCAACGCUUCUCCAGAUGAGCAAACACACGCCACUCUUUCUGCUCUUUUACAAUCGGACUAAAUGUGAGGUGAGAGCGUGUGUGCAUUCAAUGUGAACGGGACGCUGGACUUUAACACGGAUGUCUACGACACAUUGCCUCUGUUCGAUGCUCUGAAAACCAGGACGCUGAAGAGGACAGCAAAUCCAGAGGACAAACACACACUCAAACACACUCAUGAGGAAUGAGAAAAAGACACUACAGAGAGACUGUAGACCGACUGCUAAAAGUGUCUGCAGGAAACACACAACACACUCACUAUCAGCAGACAGACAGAGUCAGGACAGUCUGUGGUGAGUAGGGUAUGAGAGCGCUACAGAAUCAUGCGGUUUCUGAGAUGGAGGAAUAAAAGUUCGGCUGCACAAACACGAGGUUUCUGUCUUGCUCUCCUCCAUCAUGUCUUUCUGCAUUUACCGUGGCUUAGCUCCACCCUCUCAGGAAAAGCGGGUGUGGUUUUAUCCACUAGCUCCGCCUCUACGUCCUUGGCCCUGCCCAUCAUUGUACCAG